Molecule: ribosomal RNA, 1497 nt
Filed under: uncultured bacterium
Lineage: Bacteria
Description: bacterial SSU rRNA
Rfam family: Bacterial small subunit ribosomal RNA
Source: RNAcentral
AGUUUGAUCCUGGCUCAGAUUGAACGCUGGCGGCAGGCCUAACACAUGCAAGUCGAACGGUAGCACAGAGAGCUUGCUCUCGGGUGACGAGUGGCGGACGGGUGAGUAAUGUCUGGGAAACUGCCUGAUGGAGGGGGAUAACUACUGGAAACGGUAGCUAAUACCGCAUAACGUCGCAAGACCAAAGAGGGGGGCCUUCGGGCCUCUUGCCAUCAGAUGUGCCCAGAUGGGAUUAGCUAGUAGGUGGGGUAACGGCUCACCUAGGCGACGAUCCCUAGCUGGUCUGAGAGGAUGACCAGCCACACUGGAACUGAGACACGGUCCAGACUCCUACGGGAGGCAGCAGUGGGGAAUAUUGCACAAUGGGCGCAAGCCUGAUGCAGCCAUGCCGCGUGUAUGAAGAAGGCCUUCGGGUUGUAAAGUACUUUCAGCGGGGAGGAAGGUGUUGUGGUUAAUAACCACAGCAAUUGACGUUACCCGCAGAAGAAGCACCGGCUAACUCCGUGCCAGCAGCCGCGGUAAUACGGAGGGUGCAAGCGUUAAUCGGAAUUGCUGGGCGUAAAGCGCACGCAGGCGGUCUGUCAAGUCGGAUGUGAAAUCCCCGGGCUCAACCUGGGAACUGCAUUCGAAACUGGCAGGCUAGAGUCUUGUAGAGGGGGGUAGAAUUCCAGGUGUAGCGGUGAAAUGCGUAGAGAUCUGGAGGAAUACCGGUGGCGAAGGCGGCCCCCUGGACAAAGACUGACGCUCAGGUGCGAAAGCGUGGGGGAGCAAACAGGAUUAGAUACCCUGGUAGUCCACGCCGUAAACGAUGUCGACCUGGAGGUUGUGCCCUUGAGGCGUGGCUUCCGGAGCUAACGCGUUAAGUCGACCGCCUGGGGAGUACGGCCGCAAGGUUAAAACUCAAAUGAAUUGACGGGGGCCCGCACAAGCGGUGGAGCAUGUGGUUUAAUUCGAUGCAACGCGAAGAACCUUACCUACUCUUGACAUCCAGAGAACUUUCCAGAGAUGGAUUGGUGCCUUCGGGAACUCUGAGACAGGUGCUGCAUGGCUGUCGUCAGCUCGUGUUGUGAAAUGUUGGGCUAAGUCCCGCAACGAGCGCAACCCUUAUCCUUUGUUGCCAGCGGUUAGGCCGGGAACUCAAAGGAGACUGCCAGUGAUAAACUGGAGGAAGGUGGGGAUGACGUCAAGUCAUCAUGGCCCUUACGAGUAGGGCUACACACGUGCUACAAUGGCGCAUACAAAGAGAAGCGACCUCGCGAGAGCAAGCGGACCUCAUAAAGUGCGUCGUAGUCCGGAUUGGAGUCUGCAACUCGACUCCAUGAAGUCGGAAUCGCUAGUAAUCGUAGAUCAGAAUGCUACGGUGAAUACGUUCCCGGGCCUUGUACACACCGCCCGCCACACCAUGGGAGUGGGUUGCAAAAGAAGUAGGUAGCUUAACCUUCGGGAGGGCGCUUACCACUUUGUGAUUCAUGACUGGGGUGAAGUCGUAACAAGGUA